UACAGAGGGUGCAAGCGUUGUUCGGAAUCAUUGGGCGUAAAGCGCACGUAGGCGGCUUACCAAGUCAGGUGUGAAAGCCUGGGGCUCAACCCCAGAAGUGCAUUUGAAACUGGUAGGCUUGAAUCUUGGAGAGGGCAGUGGAAUUCCGAGUGUAGAGGUGAAAUUCGUAGAUAUUCGGAGGAACACCAGUGGCGAAGGCGACUGCCUGGACAAAGAUUGACGCUGAGGUGCGAAAGCGUGGGGAGCAAACAGG
RNAcentral lists this ribosomal RNA (253 nucleotides) under uncultured bacterium. RNAcentral's name for it is "partial 16S ribosomal RNA". It matches the Rfam family "Bacterial small subunit ribosomal RNA", at positions 524 to 776 of the family's 1533-position model. The record is from RNAcentral.